RNAcentral lists this ribosomal RNA (537 nucleotides) under uncultured bacterium. RNAcentral's name for it is "bacterial SSU rRNA". It matches the Rfam family "Bacterial small subunit ribosomal RNA", at positions 754 to 1367 of the family's 1533-position model. The record is from RNAcentral.
CGAAAGCAUGGGGAGCGAACAGGAUUAGAUACCCUGGUAGUCCAUGCCGUAAACGUUGGGCGCUAGGUGUGGGACCGUGCCGCAGCUAACGCAUUAAGCGCCCCGCCUGGGGAGUACGGCCGCAAGGCUAAAACUCAAAGGAAUUGACGGGGGCCCGCACAAGCGGCGGAGCAUGCGGAUUAAUUCGAUGCAACGCGAAGAACCUUACCAAGGCUUGACAUACAGGUGGUGCAUGGUUGUCGUCAGCUCGUGUCGUGAGAUGUUGGGUUAAGUCCCGCAACGAGCGCAACCCUCGUUCUAUGUUGCGACUCAUAGGAGACUGCCGGGGUCAACUCGGAGGAAGGUGGGGACGACGUCAAAUCAUCAUGCCCUUAUGUCUUGGGCUUCACGCAUGCUACAAUGGCCGGUACAAAGGGCUGCGAUACCGCAAGGUGGAGCGAAUCCCAAAAAACCGGUCUCAGUUCGGAUUGGGGUCUGCAACUCGACCCCAUGAAGUCGGAGUCGCUAGUAAUCGCAGAUCAGCACGCUGCGGUGAAU